RNAcentral lists this ribosomal RNA (1000 nucleotides) under uncultured Gammaproteobacteria bacterium. Its description in RNAcentral is "bacterial SSU rRNA". It matches the Rfam family "Bacterial small subunit ribosomal RNA", at positions 503 to 1503 of the family's 1533-position model. The record is from RNAcentral. Lineage: Bacteria; Pseudomonadati; Pseudomonadota; Gammaproteobacteria.
UCGUGCCACCAGCCGCGGUAAUACGGAGGGUGCGAGCGUUAAUCGGAAUGACUGGGCGUAAAGGGCAUGUAGGCGGAUAAUUAAGUUAGGUGUGAAAGCCCUGGGCUCAACCUAGGAAUUGCACUUAAAACUGGUUAACUAGAGUAUUGUAGAGGAAGGUAGAAUUCCACGUGUAGCGGUGAAAUGCGUAGAGAUGUGGAGGAAUACCGGUGGCGAAGGCGGCCUUCUGGACAGAUACUGACGCUGAGAUGCGAAAGCGUGGGGAGCAAACAGGAUUAGAUACCCUGGUAGUCCACGCUGUAAACGAUGUCGAUUUGGAGUUUGUUGCCUAGAGUGAUGGGCUCCGAAGCUAACGCGAUAAAUCGACCGCCUGGGGAGUACGGCCGCAAGGUUAAAACUCAAAUGAAUUGACGGGGGCCCGCACAAGCGGUGGAGCAUGUGGUUUAAUUCGAUGCAACGCGAAGAACCUUACCUGGUCUUGACAUCCACAGAAUCUUGCAGAGAUGUGAGAGUGCCUUCGGGAACUGUGAGACAGGUGCUGCAUGGCUGUCGUCAGCUCGUGUUGUGAAAUGUUGGGUUAAGUCCCGCAACGAGCGCAACCCUUAUCCUUUGUUGCCAUCGGUUCGGCCGGGAACUCAAAGGAGACUGCCGUUGAUAAAGCGGAGGAAGGUGGGGACGACGUCAAGUCAUCAUGGCCCUUACGACCAGGGCUACACACGUGCUACAAUGGCGUAUACAAAGGGAGGCGACCUCGCGAGAGCAAGCGGACCUCAUAAAGUACGUCUAAGUCCGGAUUGGAGUCUGCAACUCGACUCCAUGAAGUCGGAAUCGCUAGUAAUCGUGAAUCAGAAUGUCACGGUGAAUACGUUCCCGGGCCUUGUACACACCGCCCGUCACACCAUGGGAGUGGGUUGCACCAGAAGUAGAUAGCUUAACCGCGAGGGGGGCGUUUACCACGGUGUGGUCCAUGACUGGGGUGAAGUCGUAACAAGGGCGAAUU